Sinocyclocheilus anshuiensis is the source of this 426-nucleotide long non-coding RNA. RefSeq lists it as uncharacterized. The transcript has 5 exons. The record is from RefSeq and is a predicted model, not a curated record. Lineage: Eukaryota; Metazoa; Chordata; Actinopteri; Cypriniformes; Cyprinidae.
GCUCCACAGCCAGACACAGAGUAUUAUGAUUACGGUCACGGAGAGGCACAAGAAACUUACGAGUCUUACACUGAAGAUGACUGGGAUGGUGGUGCUUGGGGCGGCACCGGUGGAAAGGCUCCGACUGCCCGACCGGGCAAAUCGUAUCGGGAGCAUCCAUAUGGCAGAUACUGAGAGCAGUCCGUCACGACGGUUGCCUGGCAACUUCCUCCCCUCGUAACCUCUUGUAACCACCUAAAUGACUGAUGCUGAGAGGUUCUUUCCAGACUGGCUUUACCAGGCAGCUGCUACAGGCUUUUGGUGUCAUUUAGUACUGAAGAGGAAAAUGACAGCGCCCUUUUAUACAAUCUCUUGUGUGUGAGGAAUGUUUAGUGAAGAUUUUUAGUCUUUUUUUUUUUUCUUUUUUUUUAUUUUUUUUAAAUGUAU